AAACAUCUUUUCUUGUUAGUUUUUGAAGUAUGGCCUGCCCGCUGACAUUUGGUGUUGAAGGGCCGCGGUAUUUUGACCGUGCAAAGGUAGCAUAAUCAUUAGUUCUUUAAUUGUGAUCUGGAAUGAAUGGCUUGACGAGGCACGGGCUGUCUUAGUGUUGAAUGUUUUAUUGAAUUUGGUCUUUGAGUUAAAAUUCUUAGAUGUUUUUGUGGGACGAGAAGACCCUAUAGAGUUUGACAUUUGGUUUAUUUACUUGUUUGUUGUUUGUUUAUUUUUGGUGAGUGGGCUUUUUGUUUUGUUGGGGUGAUGGGAGGAAUGUACUUAACUCCUCUUAGUUUUGGUUAUAUUGAUUUAUAAUUGUUUGAUCCAUUUAUUUUGAUUAUAAGACUAAAUUACCUUA
Molecule: ribosomal RNA, 400 nt
Filed under: Coptotermes gestroi
Lineage: Eukaryota; Metazoa; Arthropoda; Insecta; Blattodea; Rhinotermitidae
Description: partial 16S ribosomal RNA
Source: RNAcentral